GACGAACGCUGGCGGCGUGCCUAAGACAUGCAAGUCGAGCGAUUAAGACUCCUUCGGGAGUGUAUAAAGCGGCGAACGGGUGAGUAACAGGUGGAUGAUCUACCUUCCGGUGGGGGAUAACGGCUGGAAACGGCUGCUAAUACCGCAUAAGCUUACCGGGACACAUGUAUUGGUAAGUAAAGGAGGCUUAGGCUUUCGCUUAUGGAUGGGCCCGCGUCUGAUUAGCUAGUUGGUAGGGUAACGGCCUACCAAGGCGACGAUCAGUAGCCGGCCUGAGAGGGUGGACGGCCACACUGGAACUGAGACACGGUCCAGACACCUACGGGUGGCAGCAGUAGGGAAUAUUGGACAAUGGGGGAAACCCUGAUCCAGCCAUGCCGCGUGCAGGAUGAAGGCCUUCGGUUGUAACUAGCUUUUGUACGGAACGAAAAGGUACUUUCUUAAUAAAGAAGACUCAUGACGGUACCGUAAGAAUAAAGCACCGGCUAACUACGUG
Molecule: ribosomal RNA, 496 nt
Filed under: uncultured bacterium
Lineage: Bacteria
Description: bacterial SSU rRNA
Rfam family: Bacterial small subunit ribosomal RNA
Source: RNAcentral